CUUAUCCUCCAAUUUUCAUAAUUUUCUGAGACUGUGCAUUUUCUGCUAAUUUAUCUGUCCCGUUUCCAACAGAAAAUUUUAAAUCUUCUGUUUUCAUUCCGAUUUCAGCACAAGUCUCUUCUAACUUAUGUUUUACUUCUACUAAUCCAAUAAAAAUAGUAUCUCACUCUAUUUUUAUUUAUUUUUAUUUUUAUACCAAAAUCUGGUAUGUUACAUUGAAGCUUUAAAAGAGAGAGAGAGAGAGAGAAGUUUGGUUGGAAUAGAAGCUUGAGUCUCUUGCCCGAGCAAUCGGCGCGCGCGUGUGUUUUUUUGUGUUUCGACGUCGCGGUUAGUAUCACAAUAUUAUUAUUUCUCAUUUAGAUUCUUUUAAUAAAUUUUUGAUAGAAAUUGAUAGUUAGAGACUGAUUUUUUUAUAUAUUUUAGGAGUGAAUUUCGCGUAAUUUUGACGAGGGAUUUUCAAGUUAUUUUAGAGUAUUGUGGCUGCUAUCCCGCCUAAUGUUCAUUUUCUUGGAAUUGCAUUAUAGGUAGGUUCUGUGUUGUCAAAAUUGACAGACUAAUUUCUAUGUCCAUGUUAUAUUAUUUAACCUGCAAGAUGAACUGUUGACAUAGUUGAGAUAAUAGUGAUAAUUUGACAUUUGCUAAUAGAGCAAAU
RNAcentral lists this long non-coding RNA (652 nucleotides) under Ananas comosus (pineapple). RNAcentral describes it as "long non-coding RNA (ACOM_LNC003467)". The record is from RNAcentral. Lineage: Eukaryota; Viridiplantae; Streptophyta; Magnoliopsida; Poales; Bromeliaceae.